AAUGAAUUGGAAGCAAAGCCCACAUGUGAAGAACUUGAAGAAAGCAAAGAAAAUAAGGAAAGGGUAGAAAUCUGAUGAUUGGAAAGUAGAAUAGGAACUCGGGGAAAGAAAAUUUUGAGAGAAAAUCAAGAAAAUUACAAAGAACUCCAAGAACCGGUUUUCAGUAUAAUCUGGAGUUUCAAGAACUUUAAGAAACAAAGAAAAUUAAGGAAGAAUAAAGAUCUAAUUCUUGGAAAGCAGAAAUUUGAGGAAGAAAGAAGAUUUCAAAAAAUUAAAGAAAGAAAAUACGAAUUCCCAAUAAAACUCUAAUUUCAGGGUUUGUACCUUGACGAAAAAAACCGAUGAGAAGGAAGAAAGAAGGGAGAAGGAAAAAGAACUAUAGGGAAGAAAUUUCAGGGAAGAAGAAGAAGAAUAGAGAGA
Molecule: unclassified non-coding RNA, 420 nt
Filed under: Hevea brasiliensis (rubber tree)
Lineage: Eukaryota; Viridiplantae; Streptophyta; Magnoliopsida; Malpighiales; Euphorbiaceae
Source: RNAcentral